AAGGAUGUAGUUCAAUGGUAAGAACACUUGCUUACCAUGCACAAGGCCCUGGGUUUGACCUAGCAUUGUAA
This 71-nucleotide transfer RNA is filed under the name Dipodomys ordii (Ord's kangaroo rat). It matches the Rfam family "tRNA". From Rfam's summary of the family: Transfer RNA (tRNA) molecules are approximately 80 nucleotides in length. Their secondary structure includes four short double-helical elements and three loops (D, anti-codon, and T loops). Further hydrogen bonds mediate the characteristic L-shaped molecular structure. tRNAs have two regions of fundamental functional importance: the anti-codon, which is responsible for specific mRNA codon recognition, and the 3' end, to which the tRNAs corresponding amino acid is attached (by aminoacyl-tRNA synthetases). tRNAs cope with the degeneracy of the genetic code in two manners: having more than one tRNA (with a specific anti-codon) for a particular amino acid; and 'wobble' base-pairing, i.e. permitting non-standard base-pairing at the 3rd anti-codon position. Lineage: Eukaryota; Metazoa; Chordata; Mammalia; Rodentia; Heteromyidae. The record is from Rfam by way of RNAcentral.